Dipodomys ordii (Ord's kangaroo rat) is the source of this 65-nucleotide non-coding RNA. The record is from Rfam. NCBI's taxonomy places the organism in Eukaryota, Metazoa, Chordata, Mammalia, Rodentia, Heteromyidae.
GGUGGCUCAGUGGUAGAGUGCUUGGCUCGAAUGCAUGAAGCCCUGGGUUCAAUUCCUCAGCACCA